RNAcentral lists this unclassified non-coding RNA (403 nucleotides) under soil metagenome. RNAcentral's name for it is "partial contains 5.8S ribosomal RNA, internal transcribed spacer 2, and large subunit ribosomal RNA". The stretch from base 1 to 120 matches the Rfam family "5.8S ribosomal RNA", at positions 35 to 154 of the family's 154-position model. The record is from RNAcentral.
GAUGAAGAACGCAGCGAAAUGCGAUAAGUAAUGUGAAUUGCAGAAUUCAGUGAAUCAUCGAAUCUUUGAACGCACCUUGCGCCCUUUGGACUUCUGAAGGGCAUGCCUGUUUGAGUAUCAUGAACACCUCAACUCCUUAUGGUCUUCCAUGAUGAGCUUGGACUUUGGGGGUUUUGCUGGCCUACAGUCAGCUCCUCUAAAAUAAAUCAGCUUACCGGUGUUUGGUGGGUAUCAUGGGUGUGAUAACUAUCUACGCUCGUGGUUUUCCACCAGGUAACCUUCAGCAGUGGAGGUUCACUGGAGCUCAUAGAUGUCUCUCCCCAGCGAGGACAGCCCUUUGAAUGUUUGAUCUCAAAUCAGGUAGGACUACCCGCUGAACUUAAGCAUAUCAAUAAGCGGAGGA